AAUAAAAUACUAGAAUAUUACCAUAUGAAAAAAAAUACACAAAUUUUUAUAUACCCUACUAAAGGAAUAAUUCGAAACAAUUCGUAUAUGGAUAUUCGAAUAUUUUUUGAACCUUCUUAUAUAUUUAAAAAUGCCAAAGUAUGUGUAGAGAUUUUUAUUUAUCAUUCUAGUAUUAUCAAAACUAUGUACAUUUAUUUAAAUAGUGUAAAAGAUAAUAUCCAGAUUGACCCUUGUAAUAUUAUUGUUGAACCACUUUUACUUAAUAGUACGGAAGUAUAUAAGACAAUAAAAAUUAGCAAUUACAAUAAUUAUUCGAAACAUUUGUAUAUAUACAAAUUAGAUAAACAUUAUGAUUACUUCGAAAGUUUUAUAUAUGAUAUUUUAUUUAUUUAUAAACAUAUCUAUGUUGAAAAAAAUGACGACCAACAGUUGUUUUAUACUAAUUUGAUAUAUUUCUUGAUAAAUUUGUAUAAAAAUGGGAUAGAACAGCUGAGAAAUGACAUACAAAAAGACCUCCAAAACAAUCAACAAAAUAAAGUAACAGAAGCAAAUACAAUGAAUGAUGAAAAUAACUGUACGAAUACGGCGGUAAAUUUAUAUAACCCUGGUGAAAUAUAUGCACAAGAAAAAGCUAAAAAUAUAAAAAUUUAUGAAAAUAAAAUCAGUAUAUUAGAGGAACUAUUAACUCAAAAUAAAACAAAAUAUAAUUAUUUAGAAGAAUAUUUAAAAAUAAUAAAAAUAAAAAAAAAAAAAAUUAAAGAUAAUUAUAUAGUAAUAUGUCCAAAAUAUAUUAAUUAUAAAAAAAUUGGUAAUUAUUUAUUUACAAACAAUUUUUUAAAUUUAAAAAAAAACGUCAAAAAAGUAAAGAACGUGAAAAGAUGUGAUAAUGGUACUGAUAACAUUUUAACCAUAAGUAAAAUAAUUACUUGGUGUAAUAAAAUGAAAGAAAAGGAGGACUACCCAGAUGAUGUAAAAACAGACUUUAUUCAUUUUGUGGUUCAUGAAAAGGGUAGAAACAAUAUGAUUGGUGGGUGUAGUAACGAUAGUAGUAGUAGUAGUAGUACUAGUGCCACUGGUGAUACAACAAAUUUGAACGACAUAAGCGAACGUACCAAAGCUGAGAAAAAACAAAACAUGUGUACAAAACGUAAAAACCAGGGAAAUAUAGACGACUACAUUAGUGAAAAAUUAAACUUGAGAGAAAAAAACAAAAAAGUGAAACAUGAAUUAGGUCGAUUAGAACGAAAUGACCUUUUUGAUAAUGAAAAAAAAAACAAUCAAUAUAUAAAAAAUAUGGCACACAUGGGACAUGUAAAUAAACAAGAGAACUGCAAUACUAACUGUGCUGAUGAUAACAUAGUUAGCAAAAAGAGAGAUAUUAAUAGCAACAUCAGAAAGAAUGAUUUGAUAAAUACAUAUAAAAAUCGAAUUAAAAAUACUUUAAAUUUACGUAAUUUAAAUGGAAAAAUAGAUAAUAAACGUAUAUUAUUAUCACCAUCAUCAUCACCAUCAUCAUCAUUGUCGGAUAUUAUUACAAAAGGAAAUAAACAUACCAAAGGUACUAGUGGUAAGAAAAAGAAACGUAAAAGUAACAAUAGUUGUUUCUUUAAUGAGCGUUUUUUUUUUAAUAAAUAUAAUUUAAAACAUAAAUUUGAAUAUAUAAACUAUUUUUAUGAGUUUGCACUUUUAAAUGAUAGUGAAUUUAUGCAUGACAUGAAACAUUUUUUAAAAUUGAUACAGUCAGAUGAUAAAAUAAAAAAUAGAAAUGAACAUUUAACUAAAAAAAAAAAUAAUUUUUGUAACUUAUUUGAAAAUGUACUGAAAAAAAUACUACUUUCACCAUUUUAUUUGAAUGGUGUUAUAUUUUUCUUUAAAAAAAAUGUUUACAUAGAUGCAGAUAUUUUUUUUAAUACGUUUAUCAAAAACAGUUUGGAUGAAAAUGUUCAUAUAAUCUAUUUCAAUCUGAUUGAAAGUUAUGAUGAAUUUUUUUUGCUUGACAGACUGAACGGACAAGUUGAGACGAACUUUUUAUCAGGAGAGAGAGGUGGUGGUAAUGAUGAUGUAAAAAGUGUGGAUGGGGAGGAUAUAGUAGGGGAUGAAAAGGGUGUCAAGGGGAGAGAAAAAAAAAAUGACAGGGAGAGUGAUAGAAAGGGUAGCAAGGAGUGUGACAAGGAGGGUGAAAAAAAGGGUGACAAAAAGAGUGACAAAAAGAGUGACAAAAAGAGUGACAAAAAGAGUGACAAAAAGAGUGACAAAAAGAGUGACAAAAAGGGUGACAAAAAGAGUGACAAAAAGGGUGACAAAAAGAGUGACAAAAAAGGCGACAGCAGAGGAAAAAACAAAGAGAACAAGAGAAAAAAAGAAGCUGACAAAAGCGAUGACAAAAGCGACGACAAAAGGGACGACAAAAGCGACGACAAAAGGGACGACAAAAGCGACGACAAAAGGGACGACAAAAGCGACGACAAAAGCGACGACAAAAACGACGACAAAAGCGACGACAAAAGCGACGACAAAAGCGACGACAAAAACGAAGACAGAGAACGUGUCGAUAAAAAUAAAAAAAAAUCAGGUGAAAAAAAAACAUGUGAAUUAGUUGAUGUAGAAAAAAUUCGAUAUUUUUAUGAAAACUUAUCAAAAAAAUAUCAAGAAAAAAUUGAAGAAAAGUUAAAAGAAAAAGAACAAAUUGAAAGUAUUAUAAUAUCAUUAAAUUUUGAGUUAAAUAGUAAGUAUAAUGAAUGUAAUAUCGAAUUAAUUGAUUAUGUUGCUAAUAAUGAAACAAAUGUUAGUAAUGUUAAAAUAAAGGAUAGUACAGAAUUAUUGGAUGAACAAGAAGUAGAAGACAGUGGAAAUUCAUUGCCAUUGAAUGACUUAAUAACCAUAUGUACAAUAAAAGAACCGCUUUUAGAAGACAAUAUUAGUGAUAAUAACUAUAAUAAGAAUGUUAUCAUUAAUGACUAUAAGUGUAACAGUAGUAGAUACCAGUAUAGUCACCCUAUAAACGAAUUAUACAAAGCAAUUGUUAUUAAUCAGAAAAAAAAAAAAUUAACUAAACAAAUAACCAAAGAAUUACUUUCUCACUGUUUUAACAUAAAUCAACGUAUUGAUAAUAAAAUUGUUAAAUAUAAUAAAAAGAUAAAUAAAAUAAAUACAUAUAUUAGCAGUAGUAAUUACAAAGAAUAUGUACCAUUUUAUAAAGCAUUAAAAAUUACUUUGAACAAUUUGUUAAAAGAGUGUUCAGAAAAAGAAGUAGGUCCUCGGUCAAGCACUUUGGAAGCUGUCAAAUCGGAAAACGUUGAAAGUAGUACACAAAAUAGUGCACAAAAUAGUGCACAAAUUAGGAAUAGUAACGAAAGUUAUAAUAAUGAAAGUAAUAAUAAUAAUAAUAAUGAUAAUGAUAAAAAAAAAAAUACGUUUUUAAAAAAAAUUAGCAUACAACUUAGUGACAAUUUUGUUGAGUGUAUAGACCCAAAUGAAAUAGAUUUAUUAAAGGUAGAUGAUAAUGCUAAUACAAACAAAACAGAUAAUUUGUUAAUAGAGGGGAAACAUAUAUUUGGUGAGAGCAAUGGGCCACAAAAAAGAGACAACAGUAAAAUAAAGUUAAAUGAAAAAGGAAACAAAAAUAAAACAACCAGGUUAUAUGGUAAAAAGGGAUUGGGUGAUAAAAAUGUAGUAAACGUCGGGGAUGUUACUACCAAUGCAAAUGCAAAUGCAAAUGUAAAUGCUAUUAGUAAUAAACUAAGCUUAAGCAAGAACCAAUUAUCGGGAGCCAACACAGAUGUUAUAAAAAUAACAGAUAAUUCAUUAAAAACAAUUAUGGAUAAUAAUGAUGAAUUAAUGAAGUAUUUGCAACAAAGUACCGUAGAAAUUAGUUUUUUAUAUUUUUUUAUCAACGAAAGAAUAUAUUUUAAAAAAAAUAAAUUUCUUGAUGAAAUGGUUACUUUUGUUAAAGAUAAAUAUAAGGAUAUAAAAACGAGUGCCUAUUUUUUUGAUAUACCAGACUCAAAAUGUUAUGACACUUUUAAUUUAAAAGCUUAUAUUCAAUCAACAAAAGACUUGAAAAACAAUUCCACUCUUUUUGGUGUUGACCAGAAGGAGCAAGAGAAUAAAAAAAAUAAUAUCAUAAAAACCAGAGAUGGGGAAAUAACACAAGAAGAUAAAGACAUAAAAGGGGAAUACUCCUCAACUGGGGCGUCAAUUAUGAAAAACAAAUUUCAAAAUGUUGAUAAAGCGUUAAAAGAUAUUGAACCUAUUGUUACUGGCGAUGCUACUGAUGCUACUCAUGACAUAACGAGUGAUAUUAACACUGACGCGACAAGUGACAUUUUAAGUGAUGCGGAAAAUAAUAUAAACACCGGAGAAGGAAAAGGGUACAAAAGCAAACACAAAAAGAAGCAGGACAAAAGUGAAAACGAAAAAGGAAUUAAUAAAUAUGAAAAAAAAUAUAAAAAGCAUAAAAAAAAAGAAGGUCAAGAAGAAGAAGAGAAGCAAGAAAAUCUGCAAGAAACAAAGGACAAAAAAGAAAUAAAGAAAUACAGGAAAGAUAAGAAAGGUAAGAAAGAUAAGGAAGAAAUAGAAGAGAAAGGAGAUAAAAAAAGUAAGAAAUAUAAGGAAGAAAUAGAAGAGAAAGGAGAUAAAAAAAGUAAGAAAGAAAGGGAAGAAAUGGAAGAGAAAGGAGAUAAAAAAAGUAAAAAAUAUAAGGAAGAAAUGGAAGAGAAAGAAGAUAAAAAAAGUAAGAAAAAUAAACACAAAAAAUCAAAACAUGAAAAAAGUGAAAAAGAACAAGGUAAGAAAGGGAUUGAUCAAGAAAUGGGUGCAGACAUGGCAACGGACACAGUAGAAGACAAAGAACAUGAAAUACCAAAAGAUAAAAUAGACCAAUCUUCCGAAGUAAUCGAAGCCAAGCAGGCUGAAGCGAAGGAAAUACAAAGUAUAAAAGAACCUAAAAAGAAUAAAACAAAAAAGAAACAUUUAAGUGGUAAUGCCGAUUUAAAUAAACAAUCAUCAUAUCACGAUGAAUUAAAAAAAAUAAAAUAUGACAUACAAAAUGAAUAUGAUUAUAUGUUUUAUACAAUGAUGAAUAAUGUGCACAAUACAACAGAGUUAAAAGAUAAUUUAACAGUUAGUAAAAACGAACACAUUGUUGAGUUUUUACCAAUAGAUAUAUCACAUGAUAUAAAUGAUGAAUCAAGAUAUAAUAAUAUUAGUAAUAUUAUGUUAGAAAAGAAUAAUUCUAUUAAAUUAAAUAUAAAAAUUAAUACUUUUAAAAUUGUUGAUAUAAAAAAAAAAAUAUGCUUUGUUGAUAUAUUAGGUAAUUAUUUUUGUAUAAAUAUACAUAUAUUAAUUGAUAAACCUAGAAUAUAUUCGAACCCUUAUUUUCUUUUCAAUAACAACGUUUCUGUUUGUUGUAUUGGUAAAAAUAAGUGUUUUGUUUUAUCUAAAAAUGUAUAUACUUUUGAUAGAGUUCUCAUAGGGAAAGAUUUAUUUAUGCUUAAGGACAUUAUACAAAAUGAGCUGAAUGAAGAAAGUAAUGAAGGUUUAAAUGAUUUAUUAAAAAAUUUUAAACUUUAUCAUAAUUCAUUAAAAAUUCAAGCAGCAAAUAAAUAUAAACAAGAUAAAAAAAGAAAAAAAUAUGAGGUUGUUAAAAAAGAAAUACACACUGUUGAAAAGAAUAAAAAUGAAUGGAAAGAUAUUAAUAAAAAUUUAUAUAGACAUUUACAAAUUAUAAAUUUAUAUAACUAUUCUCAUUUUGAUUGUUUUGUCGAGUUUGCGUUUGAGAAUGAACUGGGAGGGGGGAAUACUGGUACUACUAUUAUAAAUAAUGCCAAUACCGAUGAAAGUUCUGUACAUAAUGACAUUUUCAAUAAAACUACAUUGUUCGAUAAUAUGGCAGUAUUUGAUAAUGGGAUGUUAUUAAGCGAUACUAGACAGGUUAAUGAUAUAGUCACAUCAAAAGGUACGGACAAAUUAGCAGGUACGGACACAUUAACAGGUACGGACAAAUUAGCAGGUACGGACAAAUUAGCAGGUACGGAUACAUUAACAGGUACGGACACAUUAACAGGUACGGACACAGGUACAGGUGCGGAUACUUAUACAGGCACGGACACAUUAACAGGUACAAACACAUAUAAUAGUACCACCGUAAUUUCCGGCGCAAGCGUGUUUAGAGAUAAAAAGAGUAGUGGUAAUUUUUCAAUGUAUAAAGACUUUUUUGUAUAUCCCAACGAAUUUGUUAUCCCUUCGAUGAAAUGUAAAAAAGUAAUAAUUUUAUUUUUACCAAAAUGCAAGUGUUUCGUUUUUUCAAGACUAUUAUUAUCCAUAUAUUCAACAAGUAGCGAAAUAAAUAAUAAAAUUUGUAUGAUAAAUUCACUAAAUAAUAAAGACAACAUUACUUUUUCUGAAAACAAUACUUUUAUUAGUAGUAGUAGAAAUAGUAGUGGAAAUAGUAGUGAGAAUAUAAAACUUUUGAACAGCAAAAUUUACAAAAAUACAUAUGGAAGUAUAUACGAUGUAUUUUGUUUCAAUUUACACGGAGAGGGAAUAAAGUGUGGUUUGAAAAUUAACACAAGUAAUUUAGAUUUUCAUAAGAUACUUUUAAAUUCUGUUCAUAAAAAAAAAAUUGAAAUAAGAAAUGAUAACUAUUGUGAUUUGUUUUGGUAUAUCGAGUCAAAGGAUUUAAAAGAGGAAAACAAUACUAUUUUACAAAUAACACCAUCAAAAGGUAUUUUACUUAAAAAUGAAAAAAAAGUGUUAACAAUAAUUGUUAAUACUGAUAAUAUACGUACUAUAAAAAAAGAAAUUAAGAUAUAUUUUUAUGAACAUGUAUCACAAAAAAAAGAUGAUGCAAAUUUGAGAAAUCGAAAAAGGAACAACGACAGUAGUAAAAAAACGAAUUAUUUAUUACAGUUUAUUAACUUAACAGUGGAGGCUGAAAUUUGUAUAUCUUUUACUCAAGUAGAGUUUGAAUUUGUACAACAGGAAGUAGUAGUAAAAGAAAGCAGUACUAAUAAAAAAAUUUCAACUGAGUACCCUCCGAACGAAGUUGCCACUACUACACAUAUAUCGAAUGUAAACAUCUUUGAUGAAGAGUUUGUUCCGUUAGCAGAAAAUGAAGAAUUUAUAAAAAGUAGACAUCACAGUAGUACUAGCGCUAAAAAUGUUACGUCUAUUAUACACAAAUCGAAUAGAUAUGCUAUCAAUGAUAUUAUCGAAGCGGAUAUUAAUUUUCACUAUGUGUUGGUAAAUGAAAUAAAGGUUUGUUUAUUGAAGAUUAAAAAUAUUGGGAAGGUUAACAUUUUAUAUAAAAUCGAGUUGGCUGAUGGGAGUAUUUGCAACCCUAGUGGUAGUAGUAAUAAAAACAAUGACAACGAUUUUUUAAAUUUCCUAAGCGUUGAUCAUAUAAAUGCAAGUAUCGAUUCUGGAAAAAGUAAACAUAUAAAAUUAAAAGUAAAAUCAUACAAAAAAAUAAAAUUCCAAAACGUGCCUUUAUUUGUACACAUUUAUGACGUAGAAAAUAACCCCAUUCAAUCGUAUAAAUAUUUGCUUAGUGUAUUCUUUGAUUAUAAUUCUUUUAAGAUUAUUCCAGCAGUACUUAAUUUUGAUUCAGUAGAAGUACAAAAAGAGGUAUGUAAAUAUUUUCAGAUAAUUAAUGAUGGUCCAUUUGAUUUUGAAUAUGAAAUAAAUUUAUUAAAAAGUAAGAUAAAAAAUAAAGACAAUGAUACAAAGUUAACAACAUUGGAAUAUAAAAAUGUUCAAGCAGAGACAAUAGAAAAAAAAAGUUAUAAUGAAAAAAACGACAUACAAGAAAAAACUCCAUUUAUUAUUUUUCCUAUUAAAGGUUUUAUAAAAUCGAAACAAGAACAAACUAUAAGUGUUUCUUUUAAUUCUUAUGAAGAAAAAUUAUACAAAUAUAUUUAUUUAAUUCGGGUAAAUGAUAUUGCAACUGAUAGAAAAAGAAAUGUGAAAGAAACAAUUAUGUAUCGAAAUGAUAACACAUAUGAAAAACAUAAUGAAAUAAUUAAAAUAGUUGCAUCAUCAGUAAAACCUAGUAUAUCAUAUGAUAUUAAAAACAUAUUUGAAGAAAUAGUACUUGUAAAUAAAUUACAAAAUUAUAGUAGCAUAUUAGACCAAUUUUUAAACAGUAAUAGUUAUUAUAAUGAAGAUAACAAAACAUUAUAUUAUAGAUAUUGUUACGUAAAUCAAUAUGUUAAUGAAAGAAUAAAAAUUUCGAAUACAUCUGAUGUGAAUACAAAUGUUGAAAUAGAAAUAAAAGGAAUUGGUUUGGUAAAUUAUGAAAAGGACAGAAGAGUAACAAAUGGAAAAGGUGUAAAUGAAAAAAGUGUGAAUGAAAAAAGUGUGAAUGAAAAAAGUGUGAAUGAAAAAAGUGUGAAUGAAAAAAGUGUGAAUGAAAAAAGUGUGAAUAAAAAAAAAGUGAAAAGUAAAAAGUCAGAAUCGGGAAGCAGUAAAAAAAUAGCUAGCACUGUAAAUAAAGAAGAACAAACUGAUAAUAAAAUCAAAAACGAUAGUUUAGAUCGGGGCGAUUUAUUUAUUGAAUGUAACGUUAGGGUUCAAAAUUGUAAUGAAGUUAAAUCGGAAUGGAAUAUGAAAGAUGAUAGCACAAGAGGGAAUAGCACAGUAUGUUGCCAUAGCAGCGGAAAAAACAGCGGCAAUAACAAGGGUGAUACUACCAAUAGUGGUUUCACCAAAGUUAAAACCAUGCUAACUCGAUACGAACACAAAUAUGUAGAUAUUUGUUUUUUUUCUCGUCAAAUAGGAAGUAGCAUAUUUUUAGUAAACGUAUAUCUUGUUAGACAAACUACUGAAUUAUGUUUUUCUUUUUAUAUAAACGUAAAUUUUUUUUUACCUGCUAUUAAUAUGAUUUUACCGCAUAGUUUGAUGGAAACUCGUGAAAACCAGGUCUUCAAUUUAGGAAGUAUUCACUUAAAUAGUGAAAUUUCAUUUAAAAUAAAAUUAAAAAAUUGUUUUAAAUUCCCUGUUUCAGUUAAGGUUCUUUUUGAGCAGUUAGUUACAAAAUUAGUUGGUAUGCAGAGUUCUACAAAAAUAAAUAAGUUUAGUAACAAGGAGAAGCUGAGUGUAAAAGAGGAUGCAACACAAGUUUUAAAACAUAUUGAUAAUGAUGGAAAAAAUGUUAGUGAUAGGAAACAUGAUGUUGAUAAGUGUUUAAACCAAAGGGAUGAAUCUAGUGAAAAUAUAGGGAACGAAUUAAACGAGAAUAUCAACAAUGGUAGUGUAGCCGAUGGUGUUGGUAAAAGUAUAGGUGACAAUACCACUAUAAAUAAUGACAGUAACGAAAAUAUAAGACUCGGAACUGCUGUCGAAGACAAAAAAAAAUUAUAUGCUUUGAAUAGUAAAUUGUUUUUUUUUAAUAAUAAUAAAGCAGAUAAAAUAAUAUUAAGUAAAAAAAAUAAGAUUACCUAUUUUGAAUAUAAAAAUAAUAAGAAUGUUAUGUACAAAAAAGAAAAGAAAAGAAAAGAAAUAUUUCAUGCAGGUAUCUUUAACUACAUUGGCAAUAGUAGUUACAUGUUAAAUGAAAAUGAUGUAGCUUGGUUUAAAAUAAAUAUUAACAAACAAAAAUUAGAAAAGGAAAUAAUAAAAAGAAAACAGUUUUUAUUACAAACAGUAGAAAAUAGUGCGGAUGCGGUUGAUGACUAUAAGUCAGAGAAAAUUAAAAGCCAAAGUGAUGUUUCUGAAGAAUUAAUCGGUAACACUUGUACUUCUGAAAUAGUUAGUGAAAAAGGUAUAAACCAAUAUGGUGAUAGUGGUGAUAAUAAAACCGAUUGCGAAAAUGAAUUAGACAGCAAUAAGAAGAAGAAGAAUAAAAAGGAAGAUAAAAAAAAAAAAAAAAAGAAGAAGAAGAAGAAUAAAAAGGAAGUAAUAAAAACUGGAGGUAUAGAAGGAGAUGAAACGAGUGGUGCUGAUGAUGUGGGUAAGAAAAAUACGAUAAUAGGUCCAUACAAAAGUUUUAAAACUCUUUCUUUAGAACAAGACAAACAAGAACUGCUUGGAAGAAUAGGUAUUAACGUAAUAAAUAAUAAAUACGAAUUUGUAGAUUUACAAUUUGUAGGUAACAUAAUAGAAUGUACAAAUUACUGGAACUUCGAACCACUGAAACGUGAAAUGAGAAAACUUGUAUGUAAAAAUGAUAAUGCAUAUAUUUAUAAGAAUCAUAUAAAUUUUGAUUUAUUACCAUUAAAUUAUAAUAAUAUAUUUAAAGUUUGUUAUACUAAUGAAAAUGACUAUCCUUUAUAUUUUAAUAUCGAAAUAGAUAAGAAGUUAAAAAGUUUUUUAAAAAUAAGCUCUUUGAAUGGGUGCAUACCACCAAAUAGUUCUUUUCUUUUUUUUCUUCACAUGGAUAUAAAAGAGAUUUUAAAUUUGGUAAAAAAACCAAUAGUAUGCAAAUUCUCUACAAACGAUUUGAAUAUAAAACAAAAUACCAAAAUAAAAGAACACGAUGAAGAACAUAUUUAUGAAGAUUCGUUAUAUGUAAGUAUAAUGUCAGAAGAAAUCAAAAUUUUUUAUGAUAAAAAAAAACUGCUUUUUCAAAAUAUUCCUUUUCUGAAUUAUGCACAAAAUGAUUUAUUGAUAGAAAAUUUAUCUAAUCUAAAAUUAGUAGUAGAAUUGAGUAUAAUACCUAUAAAUGAAAAAGAAGAUAUAACAUCUGUUUAUUCAUUUUGUCCUUUUAAAAAAAAAAAUAUUAUUUCAUUAGUAAAGCAAAAUGGAAUAAAUAUGCUAUUGAAGGGGGAGAGAGUGGUGAAGAUAGCGAAUAUGUUCGACUCAUCAUGUUUGACAGAUGAUGUGGGUAAUGGUGGUGGUCCCCCUAUCGAUUGUGUUACAAGCGAUGACCAUGUAAAUAAUAUUUGUAACACUCCUGAAGUUACAAACAAUAAUAUUCAUACAGGUUAUACCCCAUUCAGUGUGACAAAAAGUGGUAAGUAUGAUUCAAGUAAACAUAAUGAUGCUAACAAAAAUAGUUCCACUGUUGCAGGUUCUAUUAAAACAGUAGAAGGUGAUUUUGAUAGAACUAAUCACAAUUUGGAUAAUGUUGAUUUUAGCCAAAAGGAUUAUAAAAAGAGUGAAACUAAUUAUAAUAAAACAGGCCCAUGUAGUAUGGUAAAAAGUAAAAAGAGUGAAAAUGUUAUUAAAAAGUAUGUAACUAUGAAUGGAAAAAGUACAAAACGGUUACAUAUAUAUUGUUUACAUUAUUUAUUAAAAAAGUCAAUUGAAGCAAUGUUAGUAAUAAAAAUACAAUUUUACAAUGAUAUAAAUAUACCAUUGAAAAUGGAAUUUGAAAAUUAUGAGCAAAAUGAUACUGUAUCUUUAUUAACUGAUUUUGAAUAUAAAAAAGGACGUGUACAAAAUCAGAAUAUAAUUAAUAUAUUAAGUAGAGGAGUAUUAAAUAAGAUAAGACAUGAACUAUUUUUAUUAAACAUGUCUAAUAAAGAAUUGGAGUAUUUUUUUAAAAGAGUUAAUGAAUUAGAUUGUGCAAAUAGUGAUAAUGGUACAUAUAUGGUGGGUGAAAAUGGAGGUUUACCUAGUAACAUAAGUAGUAACAUAAGUGGUAACAUAAGUGGUAACAUAAGUGGUAACAUAAGUGGUAACAUAAGUGGUAACAUAAGUGGUAACAUAAGUGGUAACAUAAGUNNNNNNNNNNGUAACAUAAGUGGUAACAUAAGUGGUAACAUAAGUGGUAACAUAAGUAGUAACAUAAGUAGUAACAUAAGUAGUAACAUAAGUAGUAACACUAUAGAAUGCGUGAAUGAUAAAGGGAAUAUAAAAGAAAACAGUGUUUUACCAAUUACAUUUUUAUCUAAUAGUUAUAACUUGUUAAAUUAUAAAACUAAGUAUAUUUUGUAUAUAGAUAAUAAACAAAAUAGACAAAUUGAAUUUGACUUAAAUCCAAUUCAACCGUUAGUGUUUUUUAAUACUUCUUGUAUAUAUAUAGAUAAUUUAUUACUAGGGAAAAGUUAUUGUUUUGUUUUUUAUAUAAUAAACUUUGAUUUUAUUGACCAUAACUUUGAAUUUGAUAAAAACUCGUAUAGCUCGUUCAAUAAUCAAAAAGAAACAAUUAAAAUAUUACCGUCGAAGGGGACUGUAAAGUGUUGUUAUAAAUGGGAAAAACGUAAUGAGCACGGUACGCUUGGCGCGAUUGAUACGCUUGGCACAAUUGGCACGACUGGAACGAUUGGCACGACUGGAACGAUUGGCACGACUGGAACGAUUGGCACGACUGGAACGAUUGGCACGACUGGAACGCCUGGUACAUAUGCUAAGAAUUUUCAAAGUGAGUCAAGUUUAACAAAAAAUGACGAAAAUAACAGAAGAAGCGAAUUAACAAGUCUCCGUUCCGCAGACUCGGACUGCAUAAUUGGCGUUUUAAGUAGUGGAUUUAGUAGUAGAUUUGGUAGUAGAUUUGGUAGUGAAGUUAGUAGUGGAGUUAAAAGUGGCCCUAACAUUAAUAGUACUAAAAGUAUUGUCAGCAGCAAAUAUAUAAAAAAGUUUAAGAUUAAUUAUUUAUCGGGUAGUAGUUUAAAAAGUAGUAAGCUAUAUAGUAACUAUAGUGCCGCUGGUAGUGAUAGCUGUUUCGACUCACUCCAGAAUACGUCGCAAAACAUAUAUGUUGCUUCUUCCUAUUCCUAUUCCUAUUCCUCCUCCUCGGAUGCAAAGUCGAACGAGAGAGAAAAAGAGCAUGAGUCAGGGAUUGACAAUAAAGCGGAAAUUUUAUUGCCAGCUCGCAACAAUACCCUUGUAGAUAAAUGGGAAUACAUAAACACAUCGUGCGAAUCUGAUAGCACAUCAUCAUUGUGGUCGUUAGAAAAUAUCAACGAAAAUGAUGAUUACGACAUGAACUGUACAUAUAAAUUUUAUCUUGUUAAUUAUUAUUUACAACAUUUAGGCAAAACAAAUGAUGAACAGCUUAAAAAAGAAAUGAAAAAAGUGCUUGGUAAAGGACUAGGUAAAAAAGUCAAAAUAUUAUUUAAGCCGCAUUUAGAGCAAUUUUAUAAUUUUAAUUUGUUAUGCAAUAUUGAUAAAAAAAAAGAGCCAUUAAAAUUAAAUUUAAAAGCUCAAGUUGGAAAGCUUAAUAUACAAUGUUACAUUAAAAGCUUUAACAAUGAAAAAACUUUUUUGGAAUUAAAAAAUGUAAAACACAAUAAAAAAGGGAAAAAUAAGACACAAAAGAAAAAUAAUGAAAAAGACGACUUGAUCCAUGUACAUUAUACAUUAGAUUUUAAAGAAACGCUAGUAGGGCACAAAAAAAUAUCAAAUAUUAUCAUAGACAAUUUCUGUGAUUUUGAUCUAUUUUAUAAAUAUUAUAUACACAAAAAAGAUAAAGAUAUAACCAUUCAAUGUGAUAAUGAUUAUAUUAUUAAGAAUUCAUCUUUUUCUAUUGCUGUUCAAUAUAUACCAUCAAAAAAUAGAACUUAUGUAAAUUACCUAUUACUUAAUAUAAGAGAUUAUUAUUUAAUACACUUUAAAAUUACUGCAAUUGCUACUAAUUUUAUGCUUAAUUUUACAUUUUACAAUUAUGAUUUUGGUAAUGUUAUUUUAUUUCCUAUUAUAGAUAAAAAAAAUAUUAAGGUAAAAAAUAUGUGUGUUUAUUCAAAGCAAUAUGUGAACGAAGAAGAGUUUUCUUCCACAGAUGAUGAUAGUUCUUUAUCAUCUUUGAUACAUAAGUAUAAAAUGAACGAAAAAAGAAAGAAAGAUGAGAUAGCAGAAGAGAGAAAGAAAACAGGGAUAGAAAAGAAGAGAACACAAGGAGAUGGAGAAAUAAAUAAAGAGAAAAAGUUGAAUACUACGUCAAAGCAGAGUGAGACAAAAGGCACAAAUGGUGCGCUUAACUUGGGUAAAAAAGGAGAAACACAUACGGAGGAACUUGCGGGAAAUUACCCAGGGAAGCACUCGGGAGAACAAACAAUGGCAUAUACAAGCGAAAAAUCAGAUGAAGGAAGACAAAAAAGAGAAAGACACAAAAGUAAAGGAAAUGGCAAUUCUUCAGAUGGGGUGACGGAAGCGACCGUGACGAAAAAUGAGACCGGUGAUGAAGAAAAACAUAGCAAAAAAAAAAAAAAAAAAAACAAAAGAGAGAAAAGGGAAAAAAAAGAGAAAGACGAGGAAAAAGGGAAAGACGAGAAAAAAGGGAAAGACGAGAAAAAAGAGAAAAGGGAGAAAAAGGAGAAAAGGGAGAAAAAGGAGAAAGAUGAGGAAUACGAAAAAAAAGAAAAAAGGGAGAAGAAGGAGAAAAAAGAGAAAAGGGAGAAAAAAGAGAAAAGGGAGAAAAAAGAGGGCACAAGUGACAGUAGUUGCAAAAUCGAUAAACACGACAAAAACGACCAAUUAGAUAAGGACCAAACACACGAUAUUAACGAAACGGAAGCGAGAAAAAGUAACAUACACGAUAAAAAGAUAAAACAAACAAAAAAGCAUAAUAAAAUGCUACAUUUUGGUAAUGUUUUAACGAAAAAUAUAAGCAAAGAAAAUGAUAGAGGUGAACAUAGCGAUGCAGAUAUAUUGUCUGUAGAAGAAGAUAUAAAUAGUGCUCAGACUAAACUUGUGAUUACUAAUAAUAAUUACGAAGAUUGUUUUGUCGAUUAUACCAUUAGCGACUGUUGUUUUGAAAUUUCAAAUGUAAGCGGUGAAAGAAUAUAUAUACAAAAACGAAAUGAAGUUUGUGUUUUUAUUAAAUUCAAACCAACAGAAGAAAAAAAAUAUAAAUGUAAAAUUUUAUUUAAAAUAAAUAAUGACAUGACAAAAGUGAUACCUAUCAAUUUGAAAGGCUCUUGUAACAAAUUUAAAUUACCUUUUUCAUGUGCUAAUAACUCUAACGGAAUAGUAUUUAAAGAUGUGCAUGUAGACAAAGAAAGCAUAAAUAAAUUUACUGUUAUGAACAAAAACAUGGAAGAUAUAACCUUUAAUGUAUUAAAUUACAAACAUUUAACUAAAAAUUAUCUAACGUUUGUUAAUUUUGAUAAUACCAUUUUGCAUCAUUUAAAAAAAAAAGAAAAGAAAACAUAUGAAAUAAAAUUUGUACCUCCUAAAUAUGUAAAUGUACAUAUACCAUUAUAUUUUAAUGUAUAUUAUAAAAACAUGAGCAUACCUUAUUAUUUAACAAAUAUUAUAGUGAAUAGUAUUUGUUAUAAAGUAGUAUUAAACACGUGUUUAUUGUCGUUUUAUAAGGUAGAAAAAAAACAAGAUACAGUGACAUGUGAAAGUAUAAAAGAUGGGAGUAGUAAAGCUAUUAUCACAGGUGGUGAAACUGUAAAAGAGUCUGAUAAAACUGCCAAAGAAUUUGAAGAGAUAAAAAAGAAAAUCCCUAAAUUAUCUAAUCAUAAAGACUACAUAAGAAGCAAUAAAAUUCAAUUACAUAAUACAGGUGACAUGAAUGCUCAGUUUUGUAUUAAUUAUCCAUUAAGAUAUGAAGAUUUUUUAUUUGUGUAUCCUAAAAAAGGAAUUAUUUUUUCAUUUAAUCUGAUUAACAUUUAUGUUUUUAUUGAUACCAAAUUUAUUACUAAAGAUGUUUAUAUUAAAGAUGUAUGUGUUGAAUUGUUUCCAAAAUUUGCUAAAAUUAACAGCAAGCUGUUUUUUCAAAUAUAUGUUAAUUCAGGAAAUACUACUGCUUUAGCAAAGAAUAAAAUGAUAUCUAUAAAUAAUGAAAAAAAAAAAAUAAACACAUUGAAAAGUGUUGAGCAACAGCAGGCAGAACAAUCUUUUUUUGGUGACAAUGAUGCUUAUAAUGGUGGUAAUAAUGAUAAGUUAACAAACGAGUUCCCUACUGAUAAAGCAAAACAAAAUGACAACAACAUCAGAAAUGACCAAACUACAGAAAAUAUAGAUAGUAACGAAAAGAAUAUUAACAUUUUUCCUCUUAAAAAUCAAACUAUUAUUUCCUUUGAAACUAAUAUACGAAAACAAAUAAGUAAAAACAUAAAAAUAGUAAACGAAACUGAAUCUAAUUAUAAAAUAAAAUAUAAAUUUGUAUCAAAUGAUAAUAAUUUUUUUUCUGUUAUGAAAUAUGAAGGUAUAAUUGAACCAAACGAACUUGGUACAUUUCAGAUUAUUUAUAAUCCUACAUUUAUUCAAAAAAAUAAAAAACAAAAUAAUUAUCAUAAUACUUUAUGUAUGAAAUAUUUAAAAUAUUGUUCCAAAAUUCAUCAUAUAUCCAAGUUACUUGUUUAUUAUCCAAAUGAUGUAGUCAAAAAUUAUAUUUUGCUAGGUUACGCAAAUAACGAAACAUAUGAAAAAAAAAGUAGUUUUUAUUUUAAAACGAAAAUUUUGGAAAGUUCUUCAAUUAGUAUUAAAAAUUGGUUGAAUGAGAGUCAAGAGUUAUGUGUUUCUUAUUAUGGGUGCGACAAAAACUUGGAAAGGAUCGACUAUGGCCAUUUCUUUUUUUACAUACAAACCAAUGUUAAGAUAAGCAACAAUGAAGAGAAAAACGUGCCGUUCAAAACCUUUUCAUUAAAAGAAGGAACCUACUAUAUUAUGGUACUUUUUUCUAAUGAAAAACAUGAGGAUUUGUAUAAAGUAUUAUUACAAUUUGAUAUGAAAGAAAUUGAUUAUUUAUUUAUUAAAAAUGUAAAAGGAAAUAAAAAAGAAAUAAUAAAAGAAAGUGUUUGCAUUUAUAAUCCAUUAAAUGAAAAUGUCAAAAUAGAUACUGUUUGUGAUUAUAAAUAUAUAUUUUUUGAUAAAUCUAUAAUAUUAGAAAAAAAAAAAAAUAAUAUUAUUAACAUUUACUUUUGUAUAAUUAAAAAUGAAGUUGAUAAAAAUAUUAUUAUUUCAUUUACAAAUAAAAAAUUAGGAAAAUAUAGUUUUAAAUUUAUUUUAAAUGUUAAUUUUGUUGAUUUAGAAGAAAAAUUUUAUUUUAAUACUGAUUUGGGAUCAUCUCAAAUUAAUGAAAUUUCUUUUACAAAUGUAUGUAAUCAAAAAAUUAAUUAUGAUGUAGUUAUUGAAAAUUAUGAUGAAAACAAUAAAAGUUCUGUAGACAUAUUUGAAUAUGUUGAUAAAACAAUACAUGCUAAAUCGAUAGAUACUGAUUUUUUUUUAAAAAACCAAAAAAUAAACAAUCUAUCAGACAAAAUUAGCUUAACCAUUAAAUACAACCCAGCCAAUAUUAAAACAGACAAGGCUAUUUUGAAGCUUGUAUCGAAAGAAGGCAUCAUACAUAAGGGAUUACUAAUAGGAAAAAGUGUAGCGCCGAAACCUAAGGGACCCAUAUUUUGUUCUUCUCAAAAAACUACUUUUAUUUCUUUUACAAAUCCGUUUUUUAAGUUGAAGCAGUUUUUUAUAGAAACGGAUGAACACUUUUCUGUUCCUUUUGAGAAAGUAAAAAUCGAAGCAAGACAGACAGUUCAAAUACAUAUUAAGUGCAAAACUACAAGUGUCGUAUCAGGUGAGUUUACAUGCACGAAUCUUCUAACUUAAUAAAUUAAUGUUGCAUAAGUAGGUUAUGUUAUAUACUCAUGUGAAAUAAUAAGUAUAUAUAUAUUUAUAUAUGUAUGUGUGAUCGUUUUUUUUUUUUUUUUAUUUUUACUUUUAUAUAAUUUUUUUAGGAAAACUUUUAAUAAAGUCGGAGGAAAAUAUCGUAUGGAUGUACUA
Long non-coding RNA from Piliocolobus tephrosceles (Ugandan red Colobus), 17610 nucleotides. Lineage: Eukaryota; Metazoa; Chordata; Mammalia; Primates; Cercopithecidae. The record is from Ensembl.